Molecule: ribosomal RNA, 254 nt
Filed under: uncultured bacterium
Lineage: Bacteria
Description: partial 16S ribosomal RNA
Rfam family: Bacterial small subunit ribosomal RNA
Source: RNAcentral
UACGUAGGGUGCAAGCGUUGUCCGGAAUUAUUGGGCGUAAAGAGCUCGUAGGCGGUCUGUCACGUCGGCUGUGAAAUCCCGAGGCUCAACCUCGGGUCUGCAGUCGAUACGGGCAAACUAGAGUAUUGCAGGGGAGACUGGAAUUCCUGGAUGUAGCGGUGAAAUGCGCAGAUAUCAGGAGGAACACCGGUGGCGAAGGCGGGUCUCUGGGCAAUAACUGACGCUGAGGAGCGAAAGCGUGGGGAGCGAACAGG